This 206-nucleotide ribosomal RNA is filed under the name uncultured bacterium. RNAcentral describes it as "partial 16S ribosomal RNA". It matches the Rfam family "Bacterial small subunit ribosomal RNA", at positions 1287 to 1500 of the family's 1533-position model. The record is from RNAcentral.
CUCAGUUCGGAUUGGAGGCUGAAACCCGCCUCCAUGAAGUUGGAUUCGCUAGUAAUCGCGCAUCAGCCAUGGCGCGGUGAAUACGUUCCCGGGCCUUGUACACACCGCCCGUCAAGCCAUGGGAGCCGGGGGUGCCUGAAGUUCGUGACCGCAAGGAGCGACCUAGGGCAAAACUGGUGACUGGGGCUAAGUCGUAACAAGGUAGC